CAGGAGUAGAGGGAAUGAGAGAAUGUGCAUAGAGGUGUUUGCUUCCCAUCCCAGAAGGCUGUUGAAAGGGGAGGUGGAAAUAAUGGAUACAUGUGGAGGCACUGGAGAAGAAGUGCAAGGCCUAACGUCUGGGCGGCUUAUGUGCCCCAUGGAGGAAAUACCAGAAGCAGGUAGACCGAUUUACAACAGCUUUUAUGUUUAUUGCAAAGACCCCUGUCGAGCAGUUCAGCCAGGAAAACUCAGGGUACAGUGCAGCACCUGCAAACAAACAACAUUCACCUUGGCCCAGGUAAGGAAUCGCAGCAUCAGCCUGAGACUGCUGAGAAAGAUGAAUGUGUCUCCGGAGUUGCCUUUUGGUGAAUCUAUAUCAUACGCCACUGAUAAUCAGAAAUCUUCUGUGUGAUUGUGAGAG
This 412-nucleotide long non-coding RNA is filed under the name Dasypus novemcinctus (nine-banded armadillo). RNAcentral's name for it is "lncRNA (ENSDNOG00000051356.1)". The record is from RNAcentral. Lineage: Eukaryota; Metazoa; Chordata; Mammalia; Cingulata; Dasypodidae.